UGGGAGGUCACGGGAUACGGCCUCGUUUCGGCGGGGUCCUCGUGGCCGCCAGUGAAAUACCACUACUCUCAUCGUUUCUUUACUUACUCGGUGGAGCGGGAAGCGGACCAAUGAGUUGUCCACGCUUCUAGCGCCAAGCGAUGGGCCCCCGGUCUCCCUUCGGGGUUGUGCCGGUCGGGCCUGCGCGACCUGUUCCGAGGACAGUGUCAGGCGGGGAGUUUGACUGGGGCGGUACAUCUGUCAAACGGUAACGCAGGUGUCCUAAGGCGAGCUCAGCGAGGACAGAAACCUCGCGUAGAGCAAAAGGGCAAAUGCUUGCUUGAUCUUGAAUUUCAGUACGAUUCGAGACCGCGAAAGCGGGGCCCCUCGAUCCUUUUGGCUUUAAGAGUUUUAAGCAAGAGGUGUCAGAAAAGUUACCACAGGGAUAACUGGGCUUGUGGCA
This 442-nucleotide ribosomal RNA is filed under the name Rhipicephalus sanguineus (brown dog tick). Its description in RNAcentral is "partial large subunit ribosomal RNA". It matches the Rfam family "Eukaryotic large subunit ribosomal RNA", at positions 2470 to 2842 of the family's 3401-position model. The record is from RNAcentral. Lineage: Eukaryota; Metazoa; Arthropoda; Arachnida; Ixodida; Ixodidae.